GUCUUUGGAAUUCUCUGCACACGUGGUUGGAGGCCAGAAAAAGGCGGCUAGGGCAGACAGCAAGGCAUGCUAACCCUGGAAAACGAGGUGUUAAGGCGAAAAAAUUGUGAUGGGAGUUCAAUAGCCAAGCAGAGAUAAGGCAGCGUGUUGUGUUGUCUCACAAAAGAAAAGGUUCAGACCCAGGGAUGAGGGUGGCAUCAAUCUUCUGUGAGGGGCAGGAUUAUUUGGAGGAGAUUUGUGGCCUCCUGUGGGGGUGGGACCAGCGAAUGAGGUUGUAAGGACUUCUUCAGCCUCUGGGAAUUAUUCCUUUCUCCACCCUCUAGUUCCAGCACGGACACCUCUGUGAGGUGAAAGAGAAACAUCUUGGCUUCAGAGGCUUGCCGCGAUGUGAGCAGACGUCAGGGUGUAUGCGGUAGCGGCAACCCUCUAGAAUUUGACUGGGUUCUGCGCAGCCUAUCUCCUGCCAGUAGUAGCACCUGUAAAGACCUGCACUGGACUCAGUAAGAGCACCAAGAGCACCGAUGGGGAAUGAAACUUGGAAAGUCUUGUAAGUAGGCUGGACCCAGAACAUCUGGGUCUUGUCCUUCAGCAGCAAGGACUUGCUAUAUACUCGAGAGGGAAUGCUGCACCAGAGUGUGAUGUUCUCCCAAGGGGCCUGAUGGUAGCUGGUUUCUGUGAACAACUCCAUCACUGCCAUUUCUAAAGACCACAAAGAGGUACUUACGGUAGCUGAAGACCCGCUCUGCUGUUGGAGAUUCUCCAGUGAGCUCCUCCAGAUGCAGCAAACUGCCCGGCCUGGGAAUAGCUGGCUGUGGGCAGCCCCUCUUGCUCCGACCCCGCCUCCUUCGGC
This is a long non-coding RNA of Echinops telfairi (small Madagascar hedgehog), 850 nucleotides long. RefSeq lists it as uncharacterized. NCBI's taxonomy places the organism in Eukaryota, Metazoa, Chordata, Mammalia, Afrosoricida, Tenrecidae. The transcript has 4 exons. The record is from RefSeq and is a predicted model, not a curated record.